Molecule: ribosomal RNA, 506 nt
Filed under: uncultured bacterium
Lineage: Bacteria
Description: partial 16S ribosomal RNA
Rfam family: Bacterial small subunit ribosomal RNA
Source: RNAcentral
GAUGAACGCUAGCUACAGGCUUAACACAUGCAAGUCGAGGGGUAACGAGAGGAAAGCUUGCUUUCCUUGUCGACGACCGGCGCACGGGUGAGUAACGCGUAUCCAACCUGCCCCCAACUAGGGAAUAACCUUGCGAAAGUAAGACUAAUACCCUAUAAUUUCCUCAGAUGACAUCUGACGAGGAAUAAAGAUUUAUAGGUUGGGGAUGGGGAUGCGUCUGAUUAGCUUGUUGGCGGGGUAACGGCCCACCAAGGCAACGAUCAGUAGGGGUUCUGAGAGGAAGGUCCCCCACAUUGGAACUGAGACACGGUCCAAACUCCUACGGGAGGCAGCAGUGAGGAAUAUUGGUCAAUGGGCGGAAGCCUGAACCAGCCAAAUAGCGUGCAGGAUGACGGCCCUAUGGGUUGUAAACUGCUUUUAUACAGGAAUAAAGUUAGCCACGUGUGGUUAUUUGUAGGUACUGUAUGAAUAAGGACCGGCUAAUUCCGUGCCAGCCGCCGCGGUAA